This 229-nucleotide ribosomal RNA is filed under the name uncultured bacterium. RNAcentral describes it as "partial 16S ribosomal RNA". It matches the Rfam family "Bacterial small subunit ribosomal RNA", at positions 107 to 334 of the family's 1533-position model. The record is from RNAcentral.
UGAGUAACACGUAUCCAACCUGCCGUCUACUCUUGGACAGCCUUCUGAAAGGAAGAUUAAUCCAGGAUGGCAUCAUGAGUUCACAUGUCCGCAUGAUUAAAGGUAUUUUCCGGUAGACGAUGGGGAUGCGUUCCAUUAGACAGUAGGCGGGGUAACGGCCCACCUAGUCUUCGAUGGAUAGGGGUUCUGAGAGGAAGGUCCCCCACAUUGGAACUGAGACACGGUCCAA